CCCUGUGACAUACCUAUAACGUUGCCUCGGCGGGAACAGACGGCCCCGUAACACGGGCCGCCCCCGCCAGAGGACCCCCUAACUCUGUUUCUAUAAUGUUUCUUCUGAGUAAACAAGCAAAUAAAUUAAAACUUUCAACAACGGAUCUCUUGGCUCUGGCAUCGAUGAAGAACGCAGCGAAAUGCGAUAAGUAAUGUGAAUUGCAGAAUUCAGUGAAUCAUCGAAUCUUUGAACGCACAUUGCGCCCGCCAGUAUUCUGGCGGGCAUGCCUGUUCGAGCGUCAUUACAACCCUCAGGCCCCCGGGCCUGGCGUUGGGGAUCGGCGGAAGCCCCCUGCGGGCACAACGCCGUCCCCCAAAUACAGUGGCGGUCCCGCCGCAGCUUCCAUUGCGUAGUAGCUAACACCUCGCAACUGGAGAGCGGCGCGGCCACGCCGUAAAACACCCAACUUCUGAAUGUUGACCUCGAAUCAGGUAGGAAUACCCGCUGAACUUAAGC
This 498-nucleotide ribosomal RNA is filed under the name Fusarium oxysporum f. sp. lycopersici. Its description in RNAcentral is "eukaryotic LSU rRNA". The stretch from base 130 to 283 matches the Rfam family "5.8S ribosomal RNA". Lineage: Eukaryota; Fungi; Ascomycota; Sordariomycetes; Hypocreales; Nectriaceae. The record is from RNAcentral.